CUCGUGUAACUCUCUCUCUCUCCGACGCAAUCGUCUUUCUCCCUCAGCGGUGGCUAUUCAUCCAAGCUUAACUCCACGAUUCACAUCCACGAGAUGUUCACAUAUUAACUGGUGAAAAUAAUUGAACAGAGAAAAUCCAAUGAUGCAGAAGUCGAGUCACUGCGAGAGCAAUACCAUCAAAGGGUUGCAACACUUGAAAGGAAGGUGUAUGCUCUUACAAAGGAAAGGGACACGCUUCGGCGGGAGCAGAAUAAGAAAAGUGAUGCAGCUGCUCUUCUGAAGGAAAAGGAUGAAAUAAUUAAUCAAGUUAUGGCUGAAGGUCUCUUUCUGUCCCUGUCUGUCUCUGUUUCUCUUGAGAAGCUCAAUAUGUUCUACAUAUUUUGUGCCUCAUAGUGAAUUUCCGUUACUUGUAAAUCAUGAUUUCCUUAGCGUAUUUAAUUGCAUUGUGUUUCUCGUUUCGGGUAGAACAGAGUUUUCAAUGAUAGGAUUUAUUUGGAAAAAAGGAAUUCUGGUAGUUAUGCUGUGUUCUCUAUUUUUGCAUGAAAGUUGAAAGUAAGA
Long non-coding RNA from Prunus persica (peach), 558 nucleotides. RefSeq lists it as uncharacterized. The record is from RefSeq and is a predicted model, not a curated record. Lineage: Eukaryota; Viridiplantae; Streptophyta; Magnoliopsida; Rosales; Rosaceae. The transcript is spliced from 3 exons.